Molecule: long non-coding RNA, 1232 nt
Filed under: Anser cygnoides (Swan goose)
Lineage: Eukaryota; Metazoa; Chordata; Aves; Anseriformes; Anatidae
Description: lncRNA (ENSACDG00005019171.1)
Source: RNAcentral
CUACAAAACUUCAGUUCCUAAGCCAAGAAAUGAAUGUUAACUUUGCAAAUGUGAGCUACAGAGAACAACCACCAGCCAGGGGGCUGCACCAAGCCAGCCAGCGAUGUCAGGAACAACCAUGAGCAGCUCCUGAGCUUGCUGAAAUCCCGGGAGCAGAGCAGGGAUGUUUCAGCUGCUGCUGCAAUCGGUGGUUAUUAAUGCUGGCUGCCAGAGGCAAAAGUGGUCAUGGUGGUAGGCUCAAGAUAGAAAAGCACAGAAGAGAUACUCUUUUUAUAGUGUUUUUUUUUUCUCUACUGCAAUGGAAAAAAACCCAACAUCGCAAAUUGAUAUUCUGAUUAAACUGGAGGACACCUGCCUCUGGUAAUGAUGGAAUUAAGCAAAUUAUCCUUUUAUUGCACCAUUCUCAAGUUUUUAUAUAAUUCUCCUCACGUCUUUCUUGUCAUUGCAGUAUCUAAAAACCUUUCCUUCAAACGGUGUCACUGAUUGCUUUUGUAGGUUUGUUUCUUUCCUUCUUUAUAGAGGGAAAGGUAUAAGUAGUAAGUGGUUUGGUUUUCUCUUCAGUUUUUAAAUAAGGCCUAAUUAUUAACUAAGUAUUUUGAAGGGAAAAAAAAUAGUUAAAAGACUGUAUAAAUUGUAUACAGAGUGAAGAUCCAGUCUGGUCAUGGCGAUGGAGGUUGGGUCAAGUUCUUUACGUUUAGUGCGUUGUCUCCAGCAGGAAAGGCUUGGUGAGAAUAACGCAGACUGUGCCCAUGGAGCCUGGAGGAGCAGCAGAGAAGAGACAUCUGAGUGCUUUUGCUGUUUUCCGUAGGGAUGCCCUCAGAAACGGCCUUUAUUUUCUCUAAAUGACGGGAUGAUUUUCCUGUCUGUGAAGAUUGAGGACCAGAAGUGCUGUGUACUGCAGUCCCGUCCUUAUCCGCGGGCCAGACAUCAUAGCAGUCUGUCGUAUCGCUCUGCUGAGCCUGGACGCGGAGCUAAAGGGAACAAACUGAACAGCCCGUGAUGGAUUGACUUCUAUUAGAUUCUUCAGGCAUCACCAUCAGUGUGAACUCCAUUUAAGUAACACCGUCAGAGACUUAAUUUAUUAUAUAAUUGAUAAGAAAUAUCACCUACGAAGCCUAGACAAUGAAAGUGACUUCCACAGGAAAUAUUUUGCUAAGAGACAGCGACAUGGGAAUGCGCUGGAGGCAGAAAAUUGAGUUAUGGAAUAAAUAGGUAAAAAAUAAUUCUUCGCA